Molecule: non-coding RNA, 1025 nt
Organism: Phoenix dactylifera (date palm)
Lineage: Eukaryota; Viridiplantae; Streptophyta; Magnoliopsida; Arecales; Arecaceae
Source: RefSeq, a predicted model, not a curated record
CUCUUUUUACUCUUCAAACUCGUCGUUUAUGCUUUCAAUUACUUCUACUAUUAUUUCUGUCAUAUUUUAUAUAUUUUUAAAAAUAUUCAUUUCAGGCAACUAAACAAGUCGAUUAGUUCGAACCUUGCAUUUGCUCAUGCGGUGCUAAAAGAGAGUGGGGCUGAGCUGGGAGCCAGUUGAACUCUGGAAGCGUACGUUGGAGCUUUCUACCUCACAUGAGAGGGACAACAAUACUUUUAGAGCAGUGCCUAGCACACCUUUGAUCUAAGUUCUCUUUUUUUUCAGUUCCUUGCUUAUAAAUUUUCCCUUCGGAUUUUGCUCAUGAUUAUUUUGUCACAUAAUUAGUUAUUGAUUUUCCAUUUUUUUAAUAUUUACGUCGAAUAUAUAAUUCAAAGAGUAAUAUGACCAUGGAAAAGAAAAGGUUAUUAAUCAUUCAGGCAUGUCUUAAUAGAAUGCAGCAUAUUGUUGUUGUGGAGCCAACUGAGCCCGUUUCCACCCGCAUUCACUUUACACUUGGGUCCACCGAACCCAUGGACAUCUGAAGUGAUUCAUGUAAAUCCCGACCCAUCUGGAGACUUGGGAGGAAUAGCGGUGGAGAUCGGCAACUGUUGAGGCGGUUAUAACCGCCUGACAGCCACGAUCACCACCACUUCUCCCUCCCCGCCGAGCCUAUAAGAACCCAAGGAUUCUUCUCUCACUCCUUCUCAUUCCCUUCUCCUUCUGUGCAAGGAAUCGGAUCGGGAGCGACUCCAUCGGAGUAGGAGGCUGAGGCACCGGGGGAAGCAAUCAAGCUACCGGAAGAGCUGCUCGGCUCCUCCUCGGAGCAAGAUGAAUAGGAGAUGCUAGGAACGAGGAGCGUGACAUGUUUCAGGGUUAUGGGGAAAAGAAAAUGACGCAUUAAAUGUUUCUAUUUUAGAUGCUUUGUAAUCAAUCUUUUAUUGAUGAAACAUUUGUUAACAUUCAAGAAAGAAAUUGUUCAUAAUUGAUUUAAAGUUUUUAAAGUGGCUGCGUGUUAUUGCGGGCAA